Cyanistes caeruleus (blue tit) is the source of this 1090-nucleotide non-coding RNA. The record is from RefSeq and is a predicted model, not a curated record. NCBI's taxonomy places the organism in Eukaryota, Metazoa, Chordata, Aves, Passeriformes, Paridae.
CGCCCCGCCCGCGCCGCCGUUCCCAUAGCGACCACGGGCAGCUCGGUCCGGGGCCGUGAGCCCCGCCCGGGCAUCCCACCGGCACCGGCACCCGCACCGGCACCGGCACCCGCGUCACACCCCGCGGGGACUCACUGCCAUAGACUGAAUUUGCACCGACAAAUAACGGCGCGGAAACUGGAUGAAAACUAUUCAUCCAUUUGUCGCCAAGUCCUUUGGGAACAGAACAGAACGUCUUCAGCCACAGAAGCCACAAGGGUUUCGCUGGGUCUGGAGGGAUGAAGAACGAUGAGGAGUUGGAAGGGCAUGGGGAAGAAGAGGAGGAAGGUUUUUGCAAUUACGACGGUGAAACACUGGCCCAGGUUUCCCAGUCAGGAGGAGAAUCAAUCCCUGGAAAUAUUCCCUGUCCCAUCCCUGGAAACAUUCAAGGGUAGCCCACCCACACAGAAGUGUACCAUGAGCAAAACAAGAGAAAGUUCAUUGAGUCUCCAGCAGCAGUCCCCAGGCUUUGCAAGGCUGAGGCCCAUUUAAAAAUAACUGGAGAAGAUGAUAGCUGUGGUUUAUUAAAACCUGGAAUCCUGAAGCCAUAGAAAAGAGAAUCACAGGGUGUUACAAUGCCAGGAGUGGGAAAAGAUUGCUUAAAAUUAAUAUUAACUAUAGCAAAGGAAGAAAUUUAAGGACAGAAAGGCAUAAGCAGUGACUUCAGAGAAAACAUUUGUAUCAUGGCCAAGUAUUUCUCGUGGAUGAGCCCCCAAGGUAAACAUUUCAAAGGACUCUAGGAAAGGAAUAAAAGAUGUUUGCAUCACUGUAGGAAGAUGGAAUGAGUUGCCUAUGAGGAGCACUACACCUCUAACCUCAGUGACACUAGGAAAUAAAAACCUACAAAUGUUUCUUCUCUGCUUCUUGCACUGCCCACUCAGUGCAGUCAGCUUUCACUGCUGAUUCCUUCUGACAGACUGCAGUCAGCGAAGGGAGGCUGGGUCUGCACUGCUCCUUGUGUACUUCUGAGCAUCCCUCACCCCCAUGCAGUGAGUGUACUUAUCUGGGCACCUCAAAACCAGUUACACUCAUGGAGACUACCCAGAGCACA